GUGGGUUCGGGAGUGCGAGGUCUUUGGGCCACCUCCCAUCCGUGUCUAUUAUACCCUGUUGCUUCGGCGGGCCCGCGCUUGUCGGCCGCCGGCGCCUUUGCCCGGGCCCGUGCCCGCCGGAGACCCCAACACGAACACUGUCUGAAAGCGUGCAGUCUGAGUUGAUUGAAUGCAAUCAGUUAAACUUUCAACAAUGGAUCUCUUGGUUCCGGCAUCGUGAAGAACGCAGCGAAAUGCGAUAACUAAUGUGAAUUGCAGAAUUCAGUGAAUCAUCGAGUCUUUGAACGCACAUUGCGCCCCCUGGUAUUCCGGCAUGCCUGUCCGAGCGUCAUUGCUGCCCUCAAGCCCGGCUUGUGUGUUGGGUCGCCGUCCCCCUCUCCGGGGGGACGGGCCCGAAAGGCAGCGGCACCGCGUCCGAUCCUCGAGCGUAUGGGGUUUGUCACAUGCUCUGUAGGAUUGGCCGGCGCCUGCCGACGUUUCCAACCAUUUCCAGGUUGACCUCGGAUCAGGUAGGGAUACCCGCUGAACUUAAGCAUAUCAUAAGCCCGGAGGAAACGCCGCUUGCCUUCUUCCGGCAAAGGAGGCCGACAGUCAGCUCAACCUAAUUACGUGCAUUAACAGACCGUGCACACUUCCGCUGCUAACCAAAGACAUAACCCCCUCCAUGUCUAAUCUAAGUCCAUACAACAUAUUAAGAAACACAUCUCCAAGAGACUAACCUCCACUGUACUGGAUCCUUCACCUGAACACGCUCCGUCACCCUCACCAUGGCAUACCCAAACACUCAUUACUAUUACCCUAGCCAUUACCCUUAACCCUAAAACCUAAUCAAUUACCUACUUACUAUGUCAUUCCUUCCGGCACCCCAUUCCACACGCCUCACAUCCUACCCACCACCUCCCGAUCCCGCUCCCUAGACAAAAACCACCUAACCUCGAAAGCUCCAAGAAACGCCCUAAACUAUCUUUACCUUACUCCACCCCUACCACAUAACCCUUCGGAAACCUUCUAAUUGCUUCUAAACUGUCCUCCAAUCCU
RNAcentral lists this small RNA (1038 nucleotides) under Aspergillus niger. Its description in RNAcentral is "eukaryotic LSU rRNA". The stretch from base 183 to 331 matches the Rfam family "5.8S ribosomal RNA". The record is from RNAcentral. Lineage: Eukaryota; Fungi; Ascomycota; Eurotiomycetes; Eurotiales; Aspergillaceae.